AUUGAACGCUGGCGGCAUGCCUUACACAUGCAAGUCGAACGGUAACGGGCCUUCGGGUGCCGACGAGUGGCGAACGGGUGAGUAAUGCAUCGGAACGUACCUUUCAGUGGGGGAUAACGUAGCGAAAGUUACGCUAAUACCGCAUAUUCUGUGAGCAGGAAAGCAGGGGAUCGCAAGACCUUGCGCUGAUUGAGCGGCCGAUGUCAGAUUAGCUAGUUGGUGAGGUAAAGGCUUACCAAGGCGACGAUCUGUAGCGGGUCUGAGAGGAUGAUCCGCCACACUGGAACUGAGACACGGUCCAGACUCCUACGGGAGGCAGCAGUGGGGAAUUUUGGACAAUGGGGGGCAACCCUGAUCCAGCCAUGCCGCGUGAGUGAAGAAGGCCUUCGGGUUGG
Molecule: ribosomal RNA, 395 nt
Filed under: uncultured bacterium
Lineage: Bacteria
Description: bacterial SSU rRNA
Rfam family: Bacterial small subunit ribosomal RNA
Source: RNAcentral